UCGUCGCCUUUCCAGAGGGGAUUACUGGGCAGGCUCAGUCUUUCGCCUCAGUCUCGAGCUCUAGCUGGUAGCGAGACGUACGCGCUCCGGUUCUUCAGUACUAGCGGCCGCCAUCGACGCCGUUUGGUUCCUCUGGGCACAUCUGCGCCACUCACCCGCUACACACUCCACCCUCAUAAGCCGCCGCCAUGGUGAAGCUCGCAAAGGCUGGUAAAAAUCAAGGUGACCCCAAGAAAAUGGCUCCUCCUCCAAAGGAGGUAGAAGAAGAUAGUGAAGAUGAGGAAAUGUCAGAUGAAGAAGAUGAAAGCAGUGGAGAAUAUAUUAUCAUUCCUCAGAGAAAAAGG
Myotis davidii is the source of this 344-nucleotide long non-coding RNA. RefSeq lists it as uncharacterized. The record is from RefSeq and is a predicted model, not a curated record. The transcript has 2 exons. Lineage: Eukaryota; Metazoa; Chordata; Mammalia; Chiroptera; Vespertilionidae.